UACGAAGGGGGCUAGCGUUGCUCGGAAUCACUGGGCGUAAAGCGCACGUAGGCGGAUUCCUAAGUCGGUGGUGAAGUCCUGGAGCUCAACUCCAGAACUGCCUCCGAUACUGAGAGUCUUCGAGUCCGGGAGAGGUGAGUGGAACUGCGAGUGUAGAGGUGAAAUUCGUAGAUAUUCGCAAGAACACCAGUGGCGAAGGCGGCUCACUGGCCCGGUACUGACGCUGAGGUGCGAAAGCGUGGGGAGCGAACAGG
This 254-nucleotide ribosomal RNA is filed under the name uncultured bacterium. RNAcentral's name for it is "partial 16S ribosomal RNA". It matches the Rfam family "Bacterial small subunit ribosomal RNA", at positions 524 to 776 of the family's 1533-position model. The record is from RNAcentral.